This is a long non-coding RNA of Asparagus officinalis (garden asparagus), 536 nucleotides long. RefSeq lists it as uncharacterized. NCBI's taxonomy places the organism in Eukaryota, Viridiplantae, Streptophyta, Magnoliopsida, Asparagales, Asparagaceae. The transcript has 2 exons. The record is from RefSeq and is a predicted model, not a curated record.
CUGCGUCCAGCCACGCGCGUCUCGCGCGUCCCGCCACCUGCGUCCAUCCACCCUUGUCGUCUUCGUCCAGGCCGCCAGAUAAACCCAAGCAGUUGUGUUAUAUUUGCUUGGUGGCUUGUGUGCAGAAUGUGCUGGAUUCAUUGAUCCCGGUGCUACUGGCGGAUAAGAAUCGAAAGUUUAUCUAUGUUGAGCAUGUAGGUUUUGAUAUGAAAUUAGGCUUUAGGAUUUUAGAUUUUGGUGUUUUUGGUUGUAGAUUUGGGGUUUUUUUGCGGGAUGUAGGCUUUCUUUCAGCGGUGGUGGAGGCAGCAGAGUGAUGCUAUGAAGAAGACGGUGAUGGAGCUUGUGAACUCUGGUCAAUUAGAAUUCAUGCAAAGGAUUUCAUCUUUAGUUUUUUACCCCUGAACUAGUUAAACUUAUGUUACGAGUGACACAAAUUUGUCUUAUUAAUUUGUUACAUACAUACAUAAAUUCUUUGCAACCCUUUUUGUGUAGAAUUAGUACUGAUUUUUAAUAUCUAAUUAGAUUUAUUUUCUUUA